CACUAUCGUUAACUGAAUACAUAGGUUAACGAGGCGAACCGGGGGAACUGAAACAUCUAAGUACCCCGAGGAAAAGAAAUCAACCGAGAUUCCCCCAGUAGCGGCGAGCGAACGGGGAGCAGCCCAGAGUCUGAAUCAGCUUGUGUGUUAGUGGAACGGUCUGGAAAGUCCGACGGUACAGGGUGAUAGUCCCGUACACCAAAAUGCACAGGCUGUGAACUCGAAGAGUAGGGCGGGACACGUGGUAUCCUGUCUGAAUAUGGGGGGACCAUCCUCCAAGGCUAAAUACUCCUGACUGACCGAUAGUGAACCAGUACCGUGAGGGAAAGGCGAAAAGAACCCCGGCGAGGGGAGUGAAAAAGAACCUGAAACCGUGUACGUACAAGCAGUGGGAGCACCUUCGGGUGUGACUGCGUACCUUUUGUAUAAUGGGUCAGCGACUUAUAUUCUGUAGCAAGGUUAACCGUAUAGGGGAGCCGCAGGGAAACCGAGUCUUAACUGGGCGUUAAGUUGCAGGGUAUAGACCCGAAACCCGGUGAUCUAGCCAUGGGCAGGUUGAAGGUUGGGUAACACUAACUGGAGGACCGAACCGACUAAUGUUGAAAAAUUAGCGGAUGACUUGUGGCUGGGGGUGAAAGGCCAAUCAAACCGGGAGAUAGCUGGUUCUCCCCGAAAGCUAUUUAGGUAGCGCCUCGUGAACUCAUCUUCGGGGGUAGAGCACUGUUUCGGCUAGGGGGUCAUCCCGACUUACCAACCCGAUGCAAACUACGAAUACCGAAGAAUGUUAUCACGGGAGACACACGGCGGGUGCUAACGUCCGUCGUGAAGAGGGAAACAACCCAGACCGCCAGCUAAGGUCCCAAAGUCAUGGUUAAGUGGGAAACGAUGUGGGAAGGCACAGACAGCCAGGAUGUUGGCUUAGAAGCAGCCAUCAUUUAAAGAAAGCGUAAUAGCUCACUGGUCGAGUCGGCCUGCGCGGAAGAUGUAACGGGGCUAAACCAUGCACCGAAGCUGCGGCAGCGACACUAUGUGUUGUUGGGUAGGGGAGCGUUCUGUAAGCCUGCGAAGGUGUGCUGUGAGGCAUGCUGGAGGUAUCAGAAGUGCGAAUGCUGACAUAAGUAACGAUAAAGCGGGUGAAAAGCCCGCUCGCCGGAAGACCAAGGGUUCCUGUCCAACGUUAAUCGGGGCAGGGUGAGUCGACCCCUAAGGCGAGGCCGAAAGGCGUAGUCGAUGGGAAACAGGUUAAUAUUCCUGUACUUGGUGUUACUGCGAAGGGGGGACGGAGAAGGCUAUGUUAGCCGGGCGACGGUUGUCCCGGUUUAAGCAUGUAGGCUGAUUGUCCAGGCAAAUCCGGAUAAUCAAGGCUGAGGUGUGAUGACGAGGCACUACGGUGCUGAAGUAACAAAUGCCCUGCUUCCAGGAAAAGCCUCUAAGCAUCAGGUAACAUUAAAUCGUACCCCAAACCGACACAGGUGGUCAGGUAGAGAAUACCAAGGCGCUUGAGAGAACUCGGGUGAAGGAACUAGGCAAAAUGGUGCCGUAACUUCGGGAGAAGGCACGCUGGUGUGUAGGUGAAGUCCCUGCGGAUGGAGCUGAGACCAGUCGAAGAUACCAGCUGGCUGCAACUGUUUAUUAAAAACACAGCACUGUGCAAACACGAAAGUGGACGUAUACGGUGUGACGCCUGCCCGGUGCCGGAAGGUUAAUUGAUGGGGUUAUCCGUAAGGAGAAGCUCUUGAUCGAAGCCCCGGUAAACGGCGGCCGUAACUAUAACGGUCCUAAGGUAGCGAAAUUCCUUGUCGGGUAAGUUCCGACCUGCACGAAUGGCGUAAUGAUGGCCAGGCUGUCUCCACCCGAGACUCAGUGAAAUUGAACUCGCUGUGAAGAUGCAGUGUACCCGCGGCAAGACGGAAAGACCCCGUGAACCUUUACUAUAGCUUGACACUGAACAUUGAGCCUUGAUGUGUAGGAUAGGUGGGAGGCUUUGAAGCGUGGACGCCAGUCUGCGUGGAGCCAACCUUGAAAUACCACCCUUUAAUGUUUGAUGUUCUAACGUUGGCCCCU
This 2064-nucleotide ribosomal RNA is filed under the name Klebsiella sp. K4-130. RNAcentral's name for it is "partial 23S ribosomal RNA". It matches the Rfam family "Bacterial large subunit ribosomal RNA", at positions 146 to 2236 of the family's 2925-position model. The record is from RNAcentral. RNAcentral also lists the same sequence under 2 other names. Lineage: Bacteria; Pseudomonadati; Pseudomonadota; Gammaproteobacteria; Enterobacterales; Enterobacteriaceae.